GGAAAAGACUGUUGAAAUAUAACUUUUCUGCUAUAUUGUGACAAAAAUAUUGUUUUAGUUAAUAAAUUAAAUUAUUAAUAUCUGUUUCAAUUUUGAAUUUUAGAAAUUUAUACAACUUUGCCAAAUUAAACUGGUAUGAACUAGUUGGAUAAAAAUCGACAGGAAGGUUGAUGGAAGAGCCUACACAAAUACCGUACACUUUAUACACAGC
Molecule: long non-coding RNA, 211 nt
Filed under: Mytilus galloprovincialis (Mediterranean mussel)
Lineage: Eukaryota; Metazoa; Mollusca; Bivalvia; Mytilida; Mytilidae
Source: RNAcentral